CUUGGAAGUGAUUUAUUUACAAGAAGAGCUCCCACUCGCUGGCCUAAAGAUCAACAGCGGAAAGAAACUGAACACAAAUCGCAGGAUUUAAACUGGAGACAAACAUAUGGAGAAGGUGUGCUCCAUGGCAUGUCUUCACUCUCCAGCAGCAGCUCCUAGGUUUCAAGGAGGACCUCUACUAAACAUUUGCUAAAUGCAUGUUGACUACAGGUCGGGUGCUGAUGGGGGCCCUUAUUUGUAAAGCAGUGAUUAUGAAAGGAUGCCCUCGUCAGCAACACUUGGGAACUUGUCGGCAAUGAAAAUGCUGGGGGUGGGGACCAGCAGUGUUUGAACAAGUCCUCUUGUGAUCCUGAUGUCAAAAGUUUGAGAACCACUGAAUUAGAGAGGAAGGCAAAGAAGAGGGUCGAGCCACUUACUACAUUACAGUCUGGUCAGGAGGGUGACGCUGGCUUGAAUUGAGAUUGGCAUCAUGUGAAUUGGUUGGAGGAGUGCAGUGAUGCAAGCCUAGCAUAAGUUUACCCAGAAAGGGGGCUUUGUACUCAAACAAACCUGAACUUGACAACUGGUAAAAGUAAGUUCAACUUAAACAAAUGUUUAAGUAAAUUAUUUUUAACACACUGAUUUUAUAUAAAGUUGAACAGUCACCAAUGGAUAGCCCACAGUAUAUGAUUACCAUGUGAUACAGUUGUGUUUGUUUUGGUUUAGGGGAAUGGACUAAAUCAACAAUUUAUUAAAGGCAGUUUUUUUAAA
Lagenorhynchus albirostris (white-beaked dolphin) is the source of this 750-nucleotide long non-coding RNA. RefSeq lists it as uncharacterized. NCBI's taxonomy places the organism in Eukaryota, Metazoa, Chordata, Mammalia, Artiodactyla, Delphinidae. The transcript has 4 exons. The record is from RefSeq and is a predicted model, not a curated record.